UAAAUUGAGAGUUUGAUCCUGGCUCAGGACGAACGCUGGCGGCGUGCCUAACACAUGCAAGUCGAGCGAUGAUUCGCCUCUUCGGAGGCGUUAAUUAGCGGCGGACGGGUGAGUAACACGUGGGUAACCUGCCUCAAAGAGGGGAAUAGCCUCCCGAAAGGGAGAUUAAUACCGCAUAAUAUGUUUUGAUCGCAUGAUCGAAA
RNAcentral lists this ribosomal RNA (203 nucleotides) under Clostridium frigoris. Its description in RNAcentral is "partial 16S ribosomal RNA". It matches the Rfam family "Bacterial small subunit ribosomal RNA", at positions 1 to 199 of the family's 1533-position model. The record is from RNAcentral. Lineage: Bacteria; Bacillati; Bacillota; Clostridia; Eubacteriales; Clostridiaceae.